Molecule: ribosomal RNA, 447 nt
Filed under: uncultured bacterium
Lineage: Bacteria
Description: bacterial SSU rRNA
Rfam family: Bacterial small subunit ribosomal RNA
Source: RNAcentral
UGCCAGACUCCUACGGGAGGCAGCAGUGGGGGAUAUUGCACAAUGGGGGGAACCCUGAUGCAGCGACGCCGCGUGGGUGAAGGAGUGCUUCGGCAUGUAAAGCCCUAUCGGCAGGGAAGAAGCAAGACGGUACCUGACUAAGAAGCCCCGGCUAACUACGUGCCAGCAGCCGCGGGAAUACGUAGGGGGCGAGCGUUAUCCGGAUUCACUGGGUGUAAAGGGAGCGUAGACGGCCAUGCAAGCCAGGGGUGAAAGCCCGGGGCCCAACCCCGGGACUGCUCUGGGAACUGUGCGGCUGGAGUGCGGGAGGGGCAGGCGGAAUUCCUGGUGUAGCGGUGAAAUGCGUAGAUAUCAGGAGGAACACCGGCGGCGAAGGCGGCCUGCUGGACCGCGACUGACGUUGAGGCUCGAAAGCGUGGGGAGCAAACAGGAUUAGAUACCCCGGUA